UACAGAGGUCCCGAGCGUUGUUCGGAUUCAUUGGGCGUAAAGGGUGCGUAGGCGGCGGGGUAAGUCUGAUGUGAAAUCCUGGGGCUCAACCCUGGAACUGCAUUGGAUACUACCUUGCUAGAGUACUGGAGAGGAAACUGGAAUUUACGGUGUAGCAGUGAAAUGCGUAGAGAUCGUAAGGAAGACCAGUGGCGAAGGCGGGUCUCUGGACAGUUCCUGACACUGAGGCACGAAGGCCAGGGGAGCAAACGGG
Molecule: ribosomal RNA, 253 nt
Filed under: uncultured bacterium
Lineage: Bacteria
Description: partial 16S ribosomal RNA
Rfam family: Bacterial small subunit ribosomal RNA
Source: RNAcentral